GUCAGCAGCUAUAUCACACGGCAACCCACUGAAGCUCAGCAGGUGUGAGCCUGGUCAGUACCUGGAUGGGAGACCUCCUGGGAAAGCUAAGGUUGCUGCUGGAA
Molecule: ribosomal RNA, 104 nt
Filed under: Lepisosteus oculatus (spotted gar)
Lineage: Eukaryota; Metazoa; Chordata; Actinopteri; Semionotiformes; Lepisosteidae
Source: RNAcentral